AGUUUGACCUCAGAUCAGACAAGGAUACCCGCUGAACUUAAGCAUAUCAAUAAGCGGAGGAAAAGAAACCAACAGGGAUUGCCUUAGUAACGGCGAGUGAAGCGGCAAGAGCUCAAAUUUGAAAUCUGAUAUCUUUGGAUGUCCGAGUUGUAAUUUGAAGAGGAAACUUCGGAUUGGACCACGAUCUAUGUGCCUUGGAACAGGUCCGUCAUAGAGGGUGAGAAUCCCGUACACGGUUGAUGGUCUCUUUCCAUGUGAAGUUCCUUCGAAGAGUCGAGUUGUUUGGGAAUGCAGCUCUAAAUGGGUGGUAAAUUUCAUCUAAAGCUAAAUACCGGCGAGAGACCGAUAGCGCACAAGUAGAGUGAUCGAAAGAUGAAAGGCACUUUGAAAAGAGAGUUAAACAGUACGUGAAAUUGUUGAAAGGGAAGCGCUUGCAAUCAGACUUUGCUUUAGUUGAUCAACGUACCUUCUGGUGCGUGCACUCAGCUAUUGCGAGGCCAGCAUCGGUUUGGACGGUGGGACAAAGGCUGCGGGAAUGUGGCUCCCUUCGGGGAGUGUUAUAGCCCGCGGUGCAAUGCCGCCUGCCUGGACCGAGGACCGCGCUUCGGCUAGGAUGCUGGCGUAAUGGUUGUAAGCGACCCGUCUUGAAACACGGACCAAGGAGUCUAACAUCUAUGCGAGUGUUUGGGUGUCAAACCCAUACGCGUAAUGAAAGUGAACGGAGGUGGGAGCCCGCAAGGGUGCACCAUCGACCGGUCCUGAUGUCUUCGGAUGGAUCUGAGUAGGAGCAUAGCUGUUGGGACCCGAAAGAUGGUGAACUAUGCCUGAAUAGGGUGAAGCCAGAGGAAACUCUGGUGGAGGCUCGCA
Molecule: ribosomal RNA, 867 nt
Filed under: uncultured Ascomycota
Lineage: Eukaryota; Fungi; Ascomycota
Description: eukaryotic LSU rRNA
Rfam family: Eukaryotic large subunit ribosomal RNA
Source: RNAcentral